ACUCCUACGGGAGGCAGCAGUGGGGAAUAUUGGACAAUGGGCGCAAGCCUGAUCCAGCCAUGCCGCGUGAGUGAUGAAGGCCCUAGGGUUGUAAAGCUCUUUCACCGGUGAAGAUAAUGACGGUAACCGGAGAAGAAGCCCCGGCUAACUUCGUGCCAGCAGCCGCGGUAAUACGAAGGGGGCUAGCGUUGUUCGGAUUUACUGGGCGUAAAGCGCACGUAGGCGGACUAUUAAGUCAGGGGUGAAAUCCCGGGGCUCAACCCCGGAACUGCCUUUGAUACUGGUAGUCUUGAGUUCGAGAGAGGUGAGUGGAAUUCCGAGUGUAGAGGUGAAAUUCGUAGAUAUUCGGAGGAACACCAGUGGCGAAGGCGGCUCACUGGCUCGAGACUGACGCUGAGGUGCGAAAGCGUGGGGAGCAAACAGGAUUAGAAACCCGGGUAGUCCC
This 445-nucleotide ribosomal RNA is filed under the name uncultured organism. RNAcentral's name for it is "partial 16S ribosomal RNA". It matches the Rfam family "Bacterial small subunit ribosomal RNA", at positions 335 to 797 of the family's 1533-position model. The record is from RNAcentral.